Long non-coding RNA from Hemicordylus capensis (graceful crag lizard), 577 nucleotides. RefSeq lists it as uncharacterized. The record is from RefSeq and is a predicted model, not a curated record. Lineage: Eukaryota; Metazoa; Chordata; Lepidosauria; Squamata; Cordylidae. The transcript is spliced from 2 exons.
AGGAGGAGGAGAAGGAGUGUGUGUGUGUGUUGUUGUUGUUGUUGUUGGUGGUGGUGGUGGAUGCUCCAUUGGCAAAUGGGCCAGACCGCCUCUCCCCGCUGCAUCCCUCGGGCAGCGCGGCGGUGGUGAGAGUCACUGUGCGGCAGAGAGGAUGAAUCAGGCAGGCAUCUGAGCGGAGCGCGGGCACCUUCCGCAAUCCAUUCAGGCACUGAAGCGCGUGAAAGGCUGCUGAUCGCUGCCAUUGUUACACGCGGCCGAUGUGGGAACCCGAGCUGCGUCUCUGGCAAGAGAUAAAUAGCCCCUGACAGCGCCUCCUCGCCAGGGGAUCGCCUCCAAUUGCACGCGGCGGACGCUCUCAGAUUGCUGCACUUCACGGUGAAAAACGGAUUGACCAUAGUUCGCCUGCUGAAAUAGCGAAUCACACAGGAUUUCGAUUCAUCUUCUUCAUACUUACUUAGGUGUAAACAGAUCACACGCACAUAGGAGUAUUUUAGGACUGGGGCGAAAAUCGAAAGCGAGGGCUUGAUAGAAUCACCGUCCGUUGAAGUCAGUGGCAAUAAAACUCCAUUCAUUUCCA